AUUUAAUCUGUUUUAGGUACUAUCUUCAAAACCUAAUUUCAAAGCCAAAUGUUCCCAAACUUUUAAGCCCAUAUAUUAUUAGAAAAAACCUUUUAACAACUAAACCUUAACAUAUGUCCUCCCACUUUGUUAUUUCUUUCACCUCAGCCGCACCACUUCUGUCGCUGUUGUUUCUUUUUCCUUUCUCCGUCCUCCAUCUUCAUUAUUCACUCCCUCUUCCCUCUUCUUUUUUCUUUUUUUUUCUCCCCAGCUGGAUCUUUACUCUCUCCCUCUUCCACGACAAAUCAUGUCUUUCUCUCUCCCCCCCCAAAUCCUCUGUUGUGUCUUUUGAUCUCUCUCUCUCUUCUUCCGGGCCAGCCAAGAAUCCAUACUUGCCGGCAGUCACAACAACUCUUCUGAGUCCAACUUUCAGAUGGGAGAAGAAGAACGGGUGGGUGGACCUUCCAAUGGUAAAAACAUGUAUGGGCCACCAAAUAUGGAAGAUUGGAGCAAUGCCGCUAUCUUUGUCAAAUUUUUGAAAGUGUUCUAUCAAAUGACGUUGCAGAUGAGUGUUACUUUACAUUCGGCUUGUCAUAGUACUUUUUCUGAUUUGCUUGCAAUUGGCUAAGAAAUAGUUGAUUUGUUCGUCGAAGAAGAUAAGUUAUUAACUUAAACACACACAAGCUUGAUAUUGUAUGAAAUGACACUAAGCAUAAAUGUAAAAUUUGAUUAGUAUUGGGGUGAUCUUGUUAAAGUGAAUCAUUUUCUAUUUGUGGGACUUGUACUUGAUCCAAGAUAUAAACUGGGCUAUGUGCCACAUAUUUUGAAGCGUCGCUGGUGUAGUAUUGAUGAAGCCAUAGCUAAGAGUAUGAGAGGCCCGGCCACCUUCCCCCGGAUGAGUACUACAACUACUAUUGGUGGUGCUGAUCCAAAACAACAUGGAAGGGGGAAAAACAAGCAGAAAUAGACGAAAGUUGGAUAAAAAAAGUUGAAGCAAGUAAAGUCGUGCUCUCGGAGCAUGAGUUUGAUAGGUACUUGUUAGAUCGCAAUGAAAAAGUGGAAGUGGGUCAAGAUUUUGAUAUUUUAAAUUGGUGGAAAUUGAAUGGUGUUAAAUACCCACUGUUAGCACUAAUUGCAAAGGAAGUUCUUGCAAUUCUGGUCUCAACGGUAGCUUCAGAAUCUGCCUUUAGCACGGGAGGGAGGAUUAUGAACUCAUAUCGUUCUUCAUUGACUCCUUUAAUGGUAGAGGUUAAUUUAUACUCAAAAUUGGUUGAUGUUAGAUAACAUCUCAAUUUUAGACGACGAGACAAUCUUGGAAGAUAUGGAGUUUUAUGAAGCACUUGAAAAAUGGAUGAGUAUUUAUUUUUCAUUUCUGUUUUUGUUUUUUCUCUUGUUUUGUUGCAUGCUUACUUUCUUAUUUUUUAAUGAGUUCUUGAUUUUUAUAUGUUCUAGAAAAAAGGAAUGGUGGCCCAUCUAGCAUUAGGGAUUUAGCAAAUAUUCAAUCCUAACUUAUCACCUUUUACUACUGAUGAUAUGUAUGUAUCUUUAGUUUUUUAGCAUCUUCCUUACUAAUUUGAAUUGUAAGCUUGUUGUAUGAUGUAUGUAUUUUUCUUGCUAAGUUACAACCCGUCCAUAAUUUUAUUUUAUUUAUAAAAAAAAAUGUGAAACGAUCAAAAUGCCCUUAGAGGUAUGCGUCGACUUUCAUUGAUUUACUCGUCAAGACACGUAUGACAUAUUAAUUAGUAUAUUCUAACAACACUCAUUAAUAUGACCGACUGAUCAUAAACGUAGCGAAAAUUAGAACUAGAAGAAAGAUUUUACGAAACACGUAUAAAUCAUUUUAUUUAAGGUAGUGGAAAAGAUAAUAGCGCUAGUUAUAAAAUAUUAGUGAUGGAAUAAAAAUAAAUAAAAUAAAUAAAUAUAAAGAAAUAAAAGAGAAGAUGGGAGAACUCUCGAGAAAUGGGAGACGUCGGUGGAGAAGAAAGAAAAAAAAAAGGAAGGAUGAUGGGGAAGGGGGAUUCUUGUUGUUGUGCCUUGGCCGUUCGUCAGUGCGGAAGUGAGAUUUAGAUUGUCUCACCAAACUACAGACCCACAGUUGAACAGUUUAAAUUACAAGAAAUAAAUACACUGAGAAAUUUACGAGGUUCGGCAAAAAUCUGCCUACGUCCUCCAAGAGAUAUUGCCCUUCACUAUGAGAAUAACUAGUACAAGAUACACUUGAGUUAAAUCAACAUAACCCAAACUCCAAUCCCUUGUAUCCUUACAGAAUUUUACUAAAAGCCUCGCUCUCCCCAAGAGUUUCUCACUCUCACUCUAUAUUUUCUCUCAUUUGUGUUCUCCUUCGGAUGCUCUCUCAAUGCAUUUCUAAAUGCACAAAUAUUGCAUCUAGUUAUAGGCAUACACUAGCAACUAUACCAACAAACAAGACCAAAAAGUCUUAAGUUCACAUGACAUAAUUAUCACCUAGCCUACCUAGCAUGCAUCAAAGUCUAUACCUAGUCUAUAAAGUACAACUUUUCUCCAUUUGUCAUUUAAUGCAUAUAAAAUAAAACAUGCACAAUUGUGUGCAAGCAACCACAAAGUCAAGUCUUGCUUCCAACUUUGCUUGUGGUAGUCACCAUGUCUUCUCUUGAAACAAGACAUCCAUGCCACAACCGAAAGCCAAACACAAAGUGGCUACUGCCAUUUCCCUGUAGCACUCAGAAAGUUACACUAUCAAAAUUGUUGCUAACUCAUAAGUAUAUGAGUCAAACACAACAUUGUUGCUGUGGAUGUUGAGAUCAGCGGGAACGCCCCCAUGCUUCAGGUUUGAGUUGUAUUCAUCUCUAUAAAAUACUAACUUGUGUAAAAUAUAGAAAUAGAUAUCUAGCACUUCAACGAUAGAGACCAGUAUUUCCAAGAAUUUUACUCACUUAAUCUCCCUUGCUUUCUCCUUGUUAUUUGGCUGAUGUGAGACGAAAACUAGCUCUGGGUUUCUCACUUUUUAUUGGGGUUGUUUACAGCAGUUGAUGAUCCUUCCAUUAUUGUAAGUAUUUCCCAAGAAACUUCUGGGUAUAAUUGUGUGUGUGUGUAUAGCAUUGACAUACAUGCUUCAAUCAAACAGAACCCUCAUCACACAUAAAUAUAUAUUGCUUUGUUUAUAAAUUUGAUGUGUUUUAAGCUCUGCACUUUGUAUAACCUUUUAUGAAAGGCUAAAUUGAUUCAGUGGAUGUAAGAAUCUGUCAAGUAUGUGUGAUAAGAGGAUUAGUCACUUGAAUUACAUAGAGUCAGUUUUUUUCUUUAUUCUAAAAUGCAUAUUCUAAUUAAACGAAAAGAGCUGGGCAACUAGUGACCCAAAUUAUGUUAUAUAAUGAAUUGACAAUGAUUUAUUUUGAAUGAAUGCUUUUAUUCAACAUGAUGUGAAAUUAAAUUUCUUACUAGUUGGGAAAUGAUGUUGGUACACUAAGAUUUAUAGUUAUAGACGGAAAGCAUAAGAUUUAGGUCCAUGUAAUAAGUAGAGACUCUGUCUUCCUAGGUAAAGACCCCUAAGAAAGUUAGUACGCAUGGGUAUACCGGUGGCCUUAUUUCAAGGUAGUGGCCAUGACCUUUUAUUAGAGCUUAUAGAUACGACAUUAAGGCCUAACCAAGAUGUUUAGAACCAAGAUUGAGAAACGUUGAGAAAGGAUUUCGUAAAUAAAAUAACGUGUAAUCAACCUGAGUUUUUAGAAUAACUAUGAAAUCUUCUAUUGAGGCGAGUUAGCAGCAUAGGUAUGGAUUUAUUUCUUAAGGUGAACUACGAAUAGCUUGAUCGUUAUUUAGAGUACGUAGGCAGUCUAACGAGGAAGUUAGAUGUAGCCAUAAAGCAUACAAAAAAUUACUACGAAAUUGGGACUUGAGUUGUGCUUUGUUCAUAGCCUGAAGGCAAAGUAAAUUAGAUAUACAGGUAUUUGGUGGCGUCACGUGUUGAUCCUGGAUGUAUGUUGGGAUCUAGACGUGACAACUUUUAGUGGUAUCAGAGCUUAGGUUAAUAACUCGAACCAUCUCAUGAUUAUCGAUUCUUAUAAACACCUAGUCUUGUGAUUUUUUCUGGAUCAGUGUCCACUCAUGUCAAUCUUCAUGGGUAAGUUUUCAAGACUCUUCUGUUGCCAAAUACUUAGAUUUCAUUAUAAAUGAAUCAGUCUUUGUGGAAUUAUAGUAUGAUGGGUGGCUAGCCAAUUAAUAUUCUUUCUUGUAAUGAUAUACUUGACUUGUUUGAAACCCAUUUGAUAUUAUAACUCCUCAUAUAUAUUGGAAAGGAUAAAUAUUCAUAUAUGCUUUUGACGAAUUGACAUGUGUGCAUAUAUCUGUAUUCAUAUGCUUUAAUUUGUACUAUUAUUUGGAUGAAAAAUAUAUAUAAGACUUUGGCUGUUUACUGGAUUUUAGUUAUGUGUACAUGUACAAGGUUUUGAACAUCACAAGGCUAAAGCAGUAAUGGAAAUUCUCGUUACUUUCAAUUUUUUUUGUAUGUGAUCAAAUAUCAUGUCCUUGGGUUUGGGUUCAAAGGUCAAUUCUUGCUAAUAGUUGAGUAUAAUAUAGAUAGAGUUAGAACCAUGAUUUCUGAAUUGUUUGGAAGUGUUCUGAAGUUGUAAUUUCAAUAAAAUGAGUUUGGGUUCUAAAAUUGCAGAUUUUUUUUUUU
Molecule: long non-coding RNA, 4633 nt
Organism: Malus domestica (apple)
Lineage: Eukaryota; Viridiplantae; Streptophyta; Magnoliopsida; Rosales; Rosaceae
Source: RefSeq, a predicted model, not a curated record